GGAGGAGGCUAGCGUUGUUCGGAAUUACUGGGCGUAAAGCGCGCGCAGGCGGCUUGGCAAGUCAGGGGUGAAAGCCCGGGGCUCAACCUCGGAACUGCCCUUGAGACUGUCAGGCUGGAGACCGAGAGAGGAGAGUGGAAUUCCCAGUGUAGAGGUGAAAUUCGUAGAUAUUGGGAAGAACACCAGUGGCGAAGGCGGCUCUCUGGCUCGGUACUGACGCUGAGGCGCGAAAGCGUGGGGAGCAAACAGGAUUAGAUACCCUGGUAGUCCACGCUGUAAACGAUGGAUGCUAGACGUUGGGGGGCUUGCCCUUCGGUGUCGUAGCUAACGCGAUAAGCAUCCCGCCUGGGGAGUACGGCCGCAAGGUUA
RNAcentral lists this ribosomal RNA (369 nucleotides) under uncultured bacterium. Its description in RNAcentral is "bacterial SSU rRNA". It matches the Rfam family "Bacterial small subunit ribosomal RNA", at positions 527 to 896 of the family's 1533-position model. The record is from RNAcentral.